AAAACUGCCAAGUGUCUCCCCCUCGACAAAAACCAACGUCGGUUUUGGUCUAGAUAACUACUAUUUCUGAUCAUUUUCCUAAAGUAAAACUUGAGAACAGAGAUAAGAGUGUCUUGUAUUUUCUCAGAUAUUUUCUCAGAUAUUCUCAUGAACAUAUUACUUUUCUGAACCAGACAUCUUUUGAACUUUCCUGUUUCCAUUGCCAAACGAGUUUCAAAUCUAAACUUCACAAUGUCAGCUUACCAUGUUUCUCAUGAGUUAAAUCAACCACAAGGCAAUCCUCAAAACAUUAUAUUUUUUGUAAACUUGAUACUUCUUCUAAUAUAUGCGACUAUUAGCUGAAAUGAUAAAUAUCAUACCAUGCAUAUGUGUUUUACUUUCCAUAAAAUUUUUCAGCCCCGUCGCCUCUCUACCCUCCGGUAAUGGAGGCUCCACCACCACCGUAUCCACCAACCAGCACGAGGUUCCAGGACUACUACAGUGGCUACGGUCAGCCGCAUCCACCGCCUCUGCGUCCAUAUAGAGAUGAGUACUAUGGAGAAGGAGAGUAUGUGGGUUGCUUUCCUUUUCUCAGAACCUGUUUGACAACGCUAUGUUGUUGCUGGUUUGUGGAACGAUGUUGCCUUCCAAGUCGAUACUAGUUCUUUAUAUGAGUUACUUUUGAUCCGCUUUAUGUGUUUGUUGUAAUGUGCAAAUCAGAAAUCUUGUUUAUGAAACAUUGACUUCUGAUUAUUUUUCUUAUAGAAAGAUUUUGAGUA
Molecule: long non-coding RNA, 758 nt
Organism: Raphanus sativus (radish)
Lineage: Eukaryota; Viridiplantae; Streptophyta; Magnoliopsida; Brassicales; Brassicaceae
Exons: 2
Source: RefSeq, a predicted model, not a curated record